RNAcentral lists this ribosomal RNA (1349 nucleotides) under metagenome. RNAcentral's name for it is "bacterial LSU rRNA". It matches the Rfam family "Bacterial large subunit ribosomal RNA", at positions 1564 to 2925 of the family's 2925-position model. The record is from RNAcentral.
UGAGUACGAGCUGCUACGGCAGCGAAGUGGGUGAUGUCAAGCUUCCAAGAAAAGCCCUAUACCCGUUAAGGCAUGAUGGCCUGUACCCGAAACCGACACAGGUGGGGUGGUAGAGAAUACCGAGGGGCGCGAGAUAACUCUCUCUAAGGAACUCGGCAAAAUGGCCCCGUAACUUCGGGAGAAGGGGUGCCACCGCAAGGUGGUCGCAGUGAAGAGGCCCAGGCGACUGUUUACCAAAAACACAGGUCUCCGCUAAGUCGCAAGACGAUGUAUGGGGGCUGACGCCUGCUCAGUGCCGGAAGGUUAAGGAAGCUGGUCAGCGUAAGCGAAGCUAGCGACUGAAGCCCCGGUGAACGGCGGCCGUAACGAUAACGGUCCUAAGGUAGCGAAAUUCCUUGUCGGGUAAGUUCCGACCCGCACGAAAGGCGUAACGAUCUGGGCGCUGUCUCGGAGAGAGGCUCGGCGAAAUAGAAUUGUCUGUGAAGAUGCGGACUACGUGCACCCGGACAGAAAGACCCUAUGAAGCUUUACUGUAGCUUGGUAUUGUGCUCGGGCUCGGAAUGCGCAGGAUAGGUGGGAGGCUAUGAACCAUUGCUUGUGGGUGAUGGUGAGCCACUGGUGAGAUACCACUCUUUCCGAGCUAGAGUUCUAACAGCCACCCGUUAUCCGGGGGCUGGACAGUAUCAGGUGGGCAGUUUGACUGGGGCGGUCGCCUCCUAAAAGGUAACGGAGGCGCGCAAAGGUUUGCUCAGGCUGGUUGGAAAUUAGCCGACGAGUGUAAAAGCAGAAGCAAGCUUGACUGUGAGACCUACAAGUCGAACAGGGAGGAAACUCGGCUUUAGUGAUCCGACGGUUCUGCGUGGAAGGGCCGUCGCUCAACGGAUAAAAGUUACUCUAGGACAACAGGCUGAUCUCCCCCAAGAGUUCACAUCGACGGGGAGGUUUGGCACCUCGAUGUCGGCUCAUCGCAACCUGGGGCUGAAGUCAGUCCCAAGGGUUGGGCUGUUCGCCCAUUAAAGCGGUACGCGAGCUGGGUUCAGAACGUCGUGAGACAGUUCGGUCCAUAUCCGGUGCAUGCGCAGGAAUAUUGAGAGGAUUUCUCCCUAGUACGAGAGGACCGGGAGGAACGCACCUCUGGUGUACCAGUUAUCGUGCCAACGGUAAACGCUGGGUAGCCAUGUGCGGAGAGGAUAACCGCUGAAAGCAUCUAAGUGGGAAGCCCACCUCAAGAUGAGUAUUCCCAUGGGGUAACCCAGUAAGGUCACGGGAAGAACACCCGUUGAUAGGCUCUACGUGGAAGCGCAGUAAUGUGUGAAGCGGAGGAGUACUAAUAGACCGAGGGCUUGACC